CAGAGGUCUCGAGCGUUAGGCGGAAUCACUGGGCUUAAAGCGUGUGUAGGCGGAUCGGUUAGUACCUUGUGAAAUCCCACAGCUUAACUGUGGAACUGCUUGGUAUACUGCCGGUCUUGAGCCACUUAGGGGCUACCGGAACAAAUGGUGGAGCGGUGAAAUGCGUAGAUAUCAUUUGGAACGCCAAUGGUGAAAACAGGUAGCUGGGAGUGUGCUGACGCUGAGACACGAAAGCCAGGGGAGCAAACGGGAUUAGAUACCCCGGUAGUCCUGGCCGUAAACGAUGUCGACUAGAUCGUGGCGCCUUCAACGGCGUCACGGUCGAAGCAAAAGUGCUAAGUCGACCGCCUGGGAAGUACGGUCGCAAGGCUA
Molecule: ribosomal RNA, 372 nt
Filed under: uncultured organism
Description: bacterial SSU rRNA
Rfam family: Bacterial small subunit ribosomal RNA
Source: RNAcentral